CCCUUAGAUGUUCUGGGCCGCACGCGCGCUACACUGACUGCUCCAACAAGUUACCUGGGCUGACAAGCAUCCGGGAAAUCUUGCAAAGGCAGUCGUGAUGGGGAUAGAUUCUUGUAAUUUUUGAUCUUCAACGAGGAAUUCCUAGUAAACGCAAGUCAUCAGCUUGCAUUGACUACGUCCCUGCCCUUUGUACACACCGCCCGUCGCAUCUACCGAUUGAAUGGAGAGGCAAAAUCUUCGGACCGUGACGCUUGGGAGUCAAAUCUCGGGCUGUCGUGGGAAGUGGAUUAAACCUUUCUAUUUAGAGGAAGGUAAAGUCGUAACA
This 325-nucleotide ribosomal RNA is filed under the name uncultured eukaryote. RNAcentral's name for it is "partial 18S ribosomal RNA". It matches the Rfam family "Eukaryotic small subunit ribosomal RNA", at positions 1470 to 1796 of the family's 1831-position model. The record is from RNAcentral.